RNAcentral lists this unclassified non-coding RNA (257 nucleotides) under plant metagenome. RNAcentral describes it as "partial contains small subunit ribosomal RNA, internal transcribed spacer 1, and 5.8S ribosomal RNA". The record is from RNAcentral.
UUUCCGUAGGUGAACCUGCGGAAGGAUCAUUAUCGGAAAACCGAGGUGCGAGGGCUGUCGCUGACCUUUUCGGUCGUGCACGCCCGAGCGCUCUCACACAAUCCAUCUCACCCCUUGUGCACCACCGCGUGGGUCCCUUUCUGGCUCGUCCGAAGGGGGGCUCGCGUUUUCACACAAACUUGAAGUAGUGUAGAAUGUCCUUUUUUUGCGAUAACACGAAAUCAAUACAACUUUCAACAACGGAUCUCUUGGCUCUC